Molecule: long non-coding RNA, 475 nt
Organism: Hylaeus volcanicus
Lineage: Eukaryota; Metazoa; Arthropoda; Insecta; Hymenoptera; Colletidae
Exons: 3
Source: RefSeq, a predicted model, not a curated record
CUUGUUUGACUACAACAAAUUGUUAAGAAUUAUAAGAGGUUGACACAGAACAAGAAGCGCGGUUUUAGACAAUUCAAGUUUUUUUUUUUUAUGGAAGGUGUACCUAACAGACUACAAACUUACCAUCUCUAGUGUAUUAGCAAAAAUAUCAGAGACGUGAAGAGUUAAAACAUUUGACGUAUUAUCUUUAUAGUCUACGCGUUUAUUUUGAUAGCUUUCACAUUGUGAACGUCCUAAGAGGAUAUCGCAAACGCCAUUAUUACGGGAUUUGUUACUAGUGAUAGGGAACCAUUGAGGUGCAAUACAAAAAGGGAAUCCCUCUUUUUGUAUGUCAGAAAAUCCAACAAUUGCCUACACACAUUCACACAAUAGAGAGUAGGUUAUCCUACUAUGCGAGUCAAGCGUUACUCGAUAUUGGUGCUCUAUGGAUAAACCGUUAUCAUUGUUGUAUAAAAAAAUGUUAUGUUGUAAAAAG